UACAGAGGUGGCAAGCGUUGUUCGGAAUUACUGGGCGUAAAGGGCGCGUAGGCGGUUCGCUAAGUCCUGUGUGAAAUCCCCCGGCUCAACUGGGGAACUGCACAGGAAACUAGCGGGCUUGAGUUCGGGAGAGGGAAGCGGAAUUCCGGGUGUAGCGGUGAAAUGCGUAGAUAUCCGGAGGAACACCGGUGGCGAAGGCGGCUUCCUGGACCGACACUGACGCUGAGGCGCGAAAGCUAGGGGAGCAAACGGG
Molecule: ribosomal RNA, 253 nt
Filed under: uncultured bacterium
Lineage: Bacteria
Description: partial 16S ribosomal RNA
Rfam family: Bacterial small subunit ribosomal RNA
Source: RNAcentral